This 483-nucleotide ribosomal RNA is filed under the name uncultured bacterium. Its description in RNAcentral is "partial 16S ribosomal RNA". It matches the Rfam family "Bacterial small subunit ribosomal RNA", at positions 30 to 507 of the family's 1533-position model. The record is from RNAcentral.
UUGAACGCUGGCGGCAGGCCUCACACAUGCAAGUCGAGCGGAUGAAGGGAGCUUGCUCCUGGCUUCAGCGGCGGACGGGUGAGUAAUGCCUAGGAAUCUGCCUGGUAGUGGGGGAUAACGUCCGGAAACGGGCGCUAAUACCGCAUACGUCCUGAGGGAGAAAGUGGGGGAUCUUCGGACCUCACGCUAUCAGAUGAGCCUAGGUCGGAUUAGCUAGUUGGUGGGGUAAAGGCCUACCAAGGCGACGAUCCGUAACUGGUCUGAGAGGAUGAUCAGUCACACUGGAACUGAGACACGGUCCAGACUCCUACGGGAGGCAGCAGUGGGGAAUAUUGGACAAUGGGCGAAAGCCUGAUCCAGCCAUGCCGCGUGUGUGAAGAAGGUCUUCGGAUUGUAAAGCACUUUAAGUUGGGAGGAAGGGCAGUAAGUUAAUACCUUGCUGUUUUGACGUUACCAACAGAAUAAGCACCGGCUAACUUCGUG